UUUUAUGGAGAGUUUGAUCCUGGCUCAGGAUGAACGCUGGCGGCGUGCCUAAUACAUGCAAGUCGAGCGAACAGACGAGGAGCUUGCUCCUCUGACGUUAGCGGCGGACGGGUGAGUAACACGUGGAUAACCUACCUAUAAGACUGGGAUAACUUCGGGAAACCGGAGCUAAUACCGGAUAAUAUAUUGAACCGCAUGGUUCAAUAGUGAAAGACGGUUUUGCUGUCACUUAUAGAUGGAUCCGCGCCGCAUUAGCUAGUUGGUAAGGUAACGGCUUACCAAGGCAACGAUGCGUAGCCGACCUGAGAGGGUGAUCGGCCACACUGGAACUGAGACACGGUCCAGACUCCUACGGGAGGCAGCAGUAGGGAAUCUUCCGCAAUGGGCGAAAGCCUGACGGAGCAACGCCGCGUGAGUGAUGAAGGUCUUCGGAUCGUAAAACUCUGUUAUUAGGGAAGAACAAAUGUGUAAGUAACUAUGCACGUCUUGACGGUACCUAAUCAGAAAGCCACGGCUAACUACGUGCCAGCAGCCGCGGUAAUACGUAGGUGGCAAGCGUUAUCCGGAAUUAUUGGGCGUAAAGCGCGCGUAGGCGGUUUUUUAAGUCUGAUGUGAAAGCCCACGGCUCAACCGUGGAGGGUCAUUGGAAACUGGAAAACUUGAGUGCAGAAGAGGAAAGUGGAAUUCCAUGUGUAGCGGUGAAAUGCGCAGAGAUAUGGAGGAACACCAGUGGCGAAGGCGACUUUCUGGUCUGUAACUGACGCUGAUGUGCGAAAGCGUGGGGAUCAAACAGGAUUAGAUACCCUGGUAGUCCACGCCGUAAACGAUGAGUGCUAAGUGUUAGGGGG
RNAcentral lists this ribosomal RNA (848 nucleotides) under Staphylococcus sp. HMSC074D07. Its description in RNAcentral is "bacterial SSU rRNA". It matches the Rfam family "Bacterial small subunit ribosomal RNA", at positions 1 to 830 of the family's 1533-position model. The record is from RNAcentral. Lineage: Bacteria; Bacillati; Bacillota; Bacilli; Caryophanales; Staphylococcaceae.